UUUAGAACUCGAGAUAUGGGCUUAACACUGCACUGUAUAUGGGCUGCAAGACAAAUUCCGACUUCUCUGUUGUUGCUAUAAUUUGAACUUGAAAACGACCCUUUUAAAUCUUGGACUCUUCAUAAAUGUUUUAGGCCUAUGUCUUAGCUUUCCAUA
This is a non-coding RNA of Populus trichocarpa (black cottonwood), 156 nucleotides long. The record is from Rfam. Lineage: Eukaryota; Viridiplantae; Streptophyta; Magnoliopsida; Malpighiales; Salicaceae.